UUUUUUAUUUCUAGGAAAAUGCUUAUUACACAUCUUUUGAUAAUUUUGUGGUAAUUCCUAAAUAUGAUCCAACAUACAAAAAAUACAGUUUUACGUUAUAGUAUUACUGACUGAGGUACUGAUCCGGGAAGUGGUCACGUGACAAAAGAACGAACGACUCGAGAGACUCGAGAGACACAAGAGAUGAACUAAUCAAUUCUCUUUCCGGCUCAGACUGCAUUGGUUAAGCUUAUGGGGCUGUCACGUGACGAACGAACGACUCAAACCCGAAGACUUGUCAGGUAAGAGCGUGAAUUAAUGUCAGGGGAUGAAACGGAGUGGAUAUGUUUGUGUGUAUGAAAGUCCAGUAUGCUAACAGCGUGCGUGUGCACCCACAUCGCCUCAGCAGGGGUUUACGGAGGAAGAAUGAGAGCCAAACUCUGGUUCACUACUGGCUGUGGUGUACACGAUGAACUCCAUACUCUCUCCUUGGCGCUGUCUGUACCAGUACAUCUGAUAAUAGCUGCCACCUUUAUUAUGACUGCACUUCAUUUCAGCAUCUUCUCCUUUCAGAUGCCAGGCAACACUGGGGUUUUGGGUGACUCCAUUCUCUCCUGCUAAAACUAAAGGACAACAAAUGAUUUAAAAUAAUGACUUCAUUUGGAUUCACAAGUCAUGUUCAGUUUCUAGACUACAUAUAUUGUACCUGGAGUCCAGUAAAGCAGGAAAGUCAGACUGAUUAUAACACUGAUCAUACUGGUUCCUAGUGGCAAGAGAGGUAUCAAGAGAUGAGGACCACAGACUGCUGCAAAUACAUCCUGUUGAGGAUCAGUUGGAGGAAAUGGCAUCAAAACCAUUUCUUUGUGAUCAAGUCUUCCUGUCACAUGCUGAAUUAACACCUUUUAUUGUAAUUAAGACCUAAGUUAAUUUUGUUAUUUAAAGUUUACUUUUUAUUUUUGUUUGUUUGUUUGUUUGUUUGAACAGACUCUUUUUGGUACGACAUUCAUAAAAGGAAAGCAAAAUAUCAGCAUGAUUUUGACAGCUUUAUUUUUGUAAAAUUGCAUACUUUUUUUUUUACUUAUUGUAAUUAAUCAUAGUGUGAAUAAUCAAUAUGUGGCACAGUAUUUGUAAAAAAAAAAAAAAAAAACUGCAAUAAACAAAUUACAUUAAAUAUCAUAUAAUUGUGUGAAUUGCAUUAUUGACAAUGAUAGGUUUCAUGGCUUAUGUCACAAAAUGUUUAAUAUAACUCAGGAUACU
Molecule: long non-coding RNA, 1236 nt
Organism: Pangasianodon hypophthalmus (striped catfish)
Lineage: Eukaryota; Metazoa; Chordata; Actinopteri; Siluriformes; Pangasiidae
Exons: 3
Source: RefSeq, a predicted model, not a curated record